CUACGGGAGGCAGCAGGCGCGAAACCUUUACAAUGCACGCAAGUGUGAUAAGGGAAUCCCAAGUGCUUUACUUCUGUAAAGCUUUUUUUAAGUGUAAAUAGCUUGAAGAAUAAGUGGUGGGCAAGACUGGUGCCAGCCGCCGCGGUAACACCAGCGCCACAAGUGGCGAUCACGUUUAUUGGGUCUAAAGGGUCCGUAGCCAGUUUGAUAAGUUUUUUGUGAAAUUGUUAAGCUUAACCUAACAACGUGCAAAAAAAACUAGCAAACUAGGAACCAAGAGGAGAUAGAAGUAUCUUAAGGGGAAUGGUAAAAUAUGAUAAUCCUUAGGAGACUACCGGUGGCGAAGGCGUCUAUCUAGAAUGGGUUCGACGGUGAGGGACGAAAGCUAGGGGAGCAAUCCGGAUUAGAUACCCUUGUAGUC
This 421-nucleotide ribosomal RNA is filed under the name uncultured archaeon. RNAcentral describes it as "partial 16S ribosomal RNA". It matches the Rfam family "Archaeal small subunit ribosomal RNA", at positions 323 to 746 of the family's 1478-position model. The record is from RNAcentral.